Molecule: non-coding RNA, 3528 nt
Organism: Lolium perenne
Lineage: Eukaryota; Viridiplantae; Streptophyta; Magnoliopsida; Poales; Poaceae
Source: RefSeq, a predicted model, not a curated record
UUUAAAAAAAAAGUACUGUAAAAUUAGUUCAAACCUCAAACCCAAUCGGAAAUAUUCGGGAUCGGGCAAAACAAAAAGCAAAACAAAACGAGCAGCACCACGAGUCCUCGCCGGACGACUGAUCCCGCCUCAACAACCAAAUCCGAGCUCCCGCCAUGGCAGCAGCUUCCGUCGGCGCCACGUUAUCGCGAGCGCUGGAAACCCACAGCGACCCCUCCCCUGAAUCCUUAUCCAAGGCGCCGUCCUCGUCGUCAUCGCGCGCCGCCGAGGCAGAGGCGAGCCCGGUGUCAACUGAUGGCGGCGCCGAGGAGGACGUGCUCGACCUGGACUCCCCGUGGGUAGCGGCGGCCGAUGCGGAAUCGAGGCUGGAGGAAGCCGCAAUGGCGGCAGCUGCAGCAGCACUCCACCUUCGCGCCGGGAACGAGGCAGAUGCGGAUGAAAUACGAGACAACCAGCAGCGACAGGACGACGAGCUGAUGGCACUGGAAGCAAUAUAUGGGGAUGAUCUUGCUGUACUAGAAAACAAAGGAGGGCUCCGCUACUUCCAGAUAUACAUACAUUACGAAUUGCAUGAUGGUAUUGAGGUGUGCGCUAAGAUAUCCUCGGCAAAUCGAAAUCGAGAACCAGAAGGAUGUCCUAAUGAUGACACAGAAGAUGAAUUCUGUUACAGCUGCAACUUUAAGUACCUCCCUCCGUUGAUAUUGACAUGCUUACUUCCAAAAUCUUAUCCUAGCAAAGACCCCCCAUAUUUCACUGUCACCGCUCAAUGGAUGGAUGGGCCGAGUGUUUCUCAACUCUGUGAGAUGCUUGACGCCGCUUGGUCAGACCUUCUUGGCCAGGAAGUAGUUUAUCAAUGGGUUGAGUGGAUACGUAAUUCUUCUUUGUCACAUCUCUCGUUUGAUGGAAAAAUAAUGCUGGGGGAAGACAUUAUUACUUCUAUAAAUGUUCAAAGACUACCCUCUCAACCAGGCCAUCUGAAAGGGGCAAAUCAAUCCUGGUCGCACGUUUGUGAAACCCACCUCCCACUUUCUUCCUCAACCGUCCGAUGUGGUGAAUUUUUUCUCACCAGUUGCUUCUCUGGAUGAGUCUAUGACGCCUGGGGCCAGCUACGUGCGGGGGCCAACGGUUAGAGACAGCCACGUACACUCGUUCGGGUCACCUUCCGUCUCCAUCCGCGGGACAGGGAAAACCUAGAUCGAGGCAUCCAAAGCCGCGACCCAAUCCCCGCCCCUCCUCUCGUCUCACCUCCUCCCCAAUCAGCGGAGGCCAGCGGCGCGCCGCCUCUCCCCCGAAUCCGCGGCGCCGGAGAAGGAGCAGCCAGCCCGAGCAGCUUGGGCGGCCCAUUCAGGUGGCGACAUCGGUGGCGGCGGGCGGAGACAGGCUGGCGCGGGGCGGAUCCUCGGCAGCGGCGAACGGAGGCGUCGGGCGCGGCCGGAGACGGUCCGGCGCGUGACGGAACCGCGGCGGCUUCGACUGGAGGCGCCGGGCCUCGGCCGCGGCGCGGAGGCCGGGACUGAGAUCCAGGCUCGCGCGCGUCCUGCUCGUCGACAAGGUGGACUACCUCCAGUGGAUCGGCACCGCCGCGGCCUUCUUCUUCGUCACCAUCCUCGUUGCAGUGACGCAGAGACGUUCUUUGGAUGGCUGCAGCCUGCAGACGCGCGCUGGAUCUGGAACAACCGAGUAUGUAACUCGCCAUGACUGGUUUGUUUGUUCUGUUCGAUUUGUUCCCUCACUGGUAGCUUGGGUAAGUAUGCCUCGUAUUUCUUAUCUAUGAAUUGAAUAAAUCUUCUUUUGGUAUUUGUUUAUGUCAUGGUGUCAAAUCUGGGGAAUACAUUAUAUAUGUGUGUGCUUGGUAAAAAAUUCCUCGCUGAGAUCCGGAGUUUUGGUUUUGGAGCAUUGCGUAUCUUUUGCCCAGAUUUGAUUGCAAUUACCAGACAUUUUUUCCGGAUAUUUUCAAGGUUUACUGAGUGGCAAGGCUAGCGAGUGCGCAGCCAGCCCACCUGGGUUUGAACCCCGACCUAGCGGUAUUUUACCUGGGAGGGGCGGACUUUAAACAGGAUUAUCAUCCUAGCGUCCAUUCGCGAGGAGAGUUUCAUCCUAUCUAACUAACAACAUAUAGCCAAGGGAGGGAGGUAUCAUUCCCCUGUUGGUCAACGUUUUUUAGGUUUACCACGAGCAUGCACAUGAGGUAAAGCACUCCUUAUGUCAAUUCAACCUUGAGCAGGUACAUGCCUAAAUUUUCCUAUUUGGAUGGGUGCCAUGGCAGCGGCCAAUAGCAAUGUUGUACUGGAGGUUAACUCGAGUUACAGUACCAUUCCCGAUGCAGUACAUUGUUUGAGAUAAUUCUCUAUUUUUUAUAAGCUUUAUGCUCUGAUCAUAAUCAGCUUGCUACUAUGUUUAGUAUUUGGAUAUUCAUGACAUUUUAAGGAUGCACAAAAUGCUAGAUUGUUAACCUUUGCCUUCAUUCUUUUCAAAAAUGUUUAUUAGUAGUUGCAUAUUCUUGAAAUUUUGACAUGCCUGAGUUUUAUUGUUGUUGUUUUAGGUCGAGGAGACAAACCAACAUCAUAUCUGACAGGAAAAUCAGAGGCAAGAACAUGAAGCUAAAUUUCAUUCACUGACCUGACCAAGAGCAGUGGCCAGCUGUAGGUCAUCGACCCCUUUUACAACUGGGCCGGAGGCUACAUGUCCUUUCCGGCGACCUCGCCAUCUCCAUCCCAUCCAUAGGCUUACAACAGCUCCAACAUGUCAUUUUUCUAUGCAACCGACUCUUUGGUUUAUGCUAGCUGGUCAUGGAUGUGUGAUGCUAUUCCGCUGGUGAGCAUGAAAGUAAAUCAUGAAGAUAUGAUUCACACUUGGAACACAGUAGGUCAAAUUACAAGGUCAAGAAGUUCAAGAUGAAUGUCACUAGGGAGGAAGCUCUCAUAAAACAAUGCAGGCAUGAGUUUGCCAUACUUGAUAAGGAAGAGAAUAUAUGAAGCUAGGCCAAAGUUAGGGACCGACACUGCUGCUAGCUCAUGUGGAACGGGCAACAAACCAAACCAGAAGUUGGUCUGAUGUAUCUGCAAAUGGUGUAUGUGUAUAAGGUCAUGUUCUGUACAGCCAUAUCUUCAUGACGGGCUCGGCUGCAGGGGCUAGGUGAGAGCUCAUCAGUAUAUGUUAGUAAUGCUCACUACCUCGGCGUCCACUGGUACUUGGUGCGACUUCCAUACAUCAUCAAGCUAGCGAGAUGGGCUCACCGCCUUGACAGCAUCAAGCUAAUGUGAUGCCCUUAUUAUUUGCCUAUAUGCUUCCGCUGGAUGUGUCUUCUAUGCUGCGGCAUUGACCUGCUGUGGUAGCUACGUAGAUAGGGCUAUGUAAAAGUUAUUUUGUGUAAGUGCAGUACAUCCUCUGGCUGAUUGGGAGGCUUGUAAGACAAUCCUUCAUCCAGACCCUAUGUUGAGAAUACGGGCUUAGCUUUAUAUGCUCUUUAACUACUCCUAUGCAUGACACGAACUGUUGCCCAGGAAGAAUUUUUGUUGAUACACUUUC